UACAGAGGUCCCGAGCGUUGUUCGGAUUCACUGGGCGUAAAGGGUGCGUAGGUGGCGUGGUAAGUUUGAUGUGAAAGCUCAGGGCUUAACCCUGAAAUGGCAUUGAAUUCUACUGUGCUGGAGGUUUGGAGGGGGGACUGGAAUUCUUGGUGUAGCAGUGAAAUGCGUAGAUAUCAAGAGGAACACCAGUGGCGAAGGCGAGUCCCUGGACAACACCUGACACUGAGGCACGAAAGCCGGGGGAGCAAACAGG
RNAcentral lists this ribosomal RNA (253 nucleotides) under uncultured bacterium. RNAcentral describes it as "partial 16S ribosomal RNA". It matches the Rfam family "Bacterial small subunit ribosomal RNA", at positions 524 to 776 of the family's 1533-position model. The record is from RNAcentral.